This 114-nucleotide ribosomal RNA is filed under the name Acanthosepion pharaonis. Lineage: Eukaryota; Metazoa; Mollusca; Cephalopoda; Sepiida; Sepiidae. The record is from RNAcentral.
UUACGGCCACAUCACGCUGAAACACCGGUUACCGCACGAUCACCGAAGUUAAGCAACGUCGAGCCUGGUGAGUACCUAGAUGGGUAACCGCUUGAGAAUACAAGGUACUGUAAG